Molecule: ribosomal RNA, 748 nt
Filed under: uncultured bacterium
Lineage: Bacteria
Description: bacterial SSU rRNA
Rfam family: Bacterial small subunit ribosomal RNA
Source: RNAcentral
GAUGAACGCUGGCGGCGUGCUUAACACAUGCAAGUCGAACGAAGCACUUAAGAUUGAUUCUUCGGAUGAAGUCUUUUGUGACUGAGUGGCGGACGGGUGAGUAACGCGUGGGUAACCUGCCUCAUACAGGGGGAUAACAGUUAGAAAUGACUGCUAAUACCGCAUAAGCGCACAGGACCGCAUGGUCUGGUGUGAAAAACUCCGGUGGUAUGAGAUGGACCCGCGUCUGAUUAGCUAGUUGGUGAGGUAACGGCCCACCAAGGCGACGAUCAGUAGCCGACCUGAGAGGGUGAUCGGCCACAUUGGGACUGAGACACGGCCCAAACUCCUACGGGAGGCAGCAGUGGGGAAUAUUGCACAAUGGGGGAAACCCUGAUGCAGCGACGCCGCGUGAAGGAAGAAGUAUUUCGGUAUGUAAACUUCUAUCAGCAGGGAAGAAAAUGACGGUACCUGACUAAGAAGCCCCGGCUAACUACGUGCCAGCAGCCGCGGUAAUACGUAGGGGGCAAGCGUUAUCCGGAUUUACUGGGUGUAAAGGGAGCGUAGGCGGUCUGACAAGUCAGAAGUGAAAGCCCGGGGCUCAACCCCGGGACUGCUUUUGAAACUGCCGGACUAGAUUGCAGGAGAGGUAAGUGGAAUUCCUAGUGUAGCGGUGAAAUGCGUAGAUAUUAGGAGGAACACCAGUGGCGAAGGCGGCUUACUGGACUGUAAAUGACGCUGAGGCUCGAAAGCGUGGGGAGCAAACAGG